This 466-nucleotide ribosomal RNA is filed under the name uncultured bacterium. RNAcentral describes it as "partial 16S ribosomal RNA". It matches the Rfam family "Bacterial small subunit ribosomal RNA", at positions 28 to 507 of the family's 1533-position model. The record is from RNAcentral.
GAUGAACGCUGGCGGCGUGCUUAACACAUGCAAGUCGAACGGAAAGGCCACAGCUUGCUGUGUUCCUCGAGUGGCGAACGGGUGAGUAACACGUGGUUGAUCUGCCCUGUACUUCGGGAUAAGCUUGGGAAACUGGGUCUAAUACCGGAUAGGAAUCACAUGUGGGUGUGUGGUUGGAAAGCUUUUGCGGUAUGGGAUGAGCUCGCGGCCUAUCAGCUUGUUGGUGGGGUAAUGGCCUACCAAGGCGUCGACGGGUAGCCGGCCUGAGAGGGUGUACGGCCACAUUGGGACUGAGAUACGGCCCAGACUCCUACGGGAGGCAGCAGUGGGGAAUAUUGCACAAUGGGCGCAAGCCUGAUGCAGCGACGCCGCGUGGGGGAUGACGGCCUUCGGGUUGUAAACUCCUUUCGUCAGGGACGAAGCGAAAGUGACGGUACCUGGAUAAGAAGCACCGGAUAACUACGUG